GUGUGUGUGUGUGUGUGUGUGUGUGUGUGUGUGUGUGUGUGUGUGUGUGUGUGUGUGUGUGUGUUGAAGCUGAAGUGACUACCAAAGUGUGCAGAAUGUUGACUGCGGUGCGUUUAAAAGUAAAAAAACGCAAAAAGACUAAAUAGUGCAGAAUAUACUCGGCACUGUUUUCUUUUGUCAUCUUGCUGCUUUUUAGACUCGCGCUGCUGAAAUCAAAACAUUUGUUUUCAAUAUCUCCAGAUACUUAAGUGCUAAUUGUGAUUGUUCUCAUUUUGACUGAUGACUGAUUUCGCGUAUUUAUUAUCACUUGAUUCUGAGGGCUUUCAAUUGUUCAGUUUGAGCUUCUAGCAUUCAAUAAAUGACGACCUUUUGAGUCACAAGGCA
This is a long non-coding RNA of Hippocampus comes (tiger tail seahorse), 384 nucleotides long. RefSeq lists it as uncharacterized. NCBI's taxonomy places the organism in Eukaryota, Metazoa, Chordata, Actinopteri, Syngnathiformes, Syngnathidae. The transcript is spliced from 2 exons. The record is from RefSeq and is a predicted model, not a curated record.